UCCUACGGGAGGCAGCAGUGGGGAAUAUUGGACAAUGGGCGCAAGCCUGAUCCAGCCAUGCCGCGUGAGUGAUGAAGGCCCUAGGGUUGUAAAGCUCUUUCAGCGAGGAGGAUAAUGACGUUACUCGCAGAAGAAGCCCCGGCUAAUUUCGUGCCAGCAGCCGCGGUAAUACAAAGGGGGCUAGCGUUGUUCGAAAUCACUGGGCGUAAAGCGCACGUAGGCGGACUUUUAAAUCGGGGGUGAAACCCCGGGGCUCACCCCCGGAACUGCUUUUGAUACUGAAAGUUUUGAAUCCAAAAAAGGUGAGUGGAACUCCCAUUGUAAAGGUGAAAUUUCAUAAAUUUCCGAAAAAACACCCGUGGGCGAAGGCGGCUCAUUGGCUCCGUAUUGAACCUAAAAGUGCGAAAAACC
RNAcentral lists this ribosomal RNA (411 nucleotides) under bacterium A6S_VP8_H8. Its description in RNAcentral is "bacterial SSU rRNA". It matches the Rfam family "Bacterial small subunit ribosomal RNA", at positions 337 to 762 of the family's 1533-position model. The record is from RNAcentral.